AGUUCAGAAGCUAAAUUGAUUGAGCAUUGGAUUUUUGAUCUAAAGAUAGGAUUAGUUCCCUGGAC
Molecule: transfer RNA, 65 nt
Filed under: Penenirmus auritus
Lineage: Eukaryota; Metazoa; Arthropoda; Insecta; Psocodea; Philopteridae
Description: tRNA-Lys
Source: RNAcentral